CGUGUAGGCGGGGAUGCAAGUCUGAUGUGAAAGCCCUGGGCUUAACCUGGGAAGUGCAUUGGAAACUGCAUUUCUUGAGUACUGGAGAGGAAGGGGGAAUUCCCGGUGUAGAGGUGAAAUUCGUAGAGAUCGGGAGGAAUACCAGUGGCGUAGGCGCCCUUCUGGACGGUUACUGACGCUGAGACGCGAAAGCGUGGGGAGCAAACA
RNAcentral lists this ribosomal RNA (207 nucleotides) under uncultured delta proteobacterium. RNAcentral's name for it is "partial 16S ribosomal RNA". It matches the Rfam family "Bacterial small subunit ribosomal RNA", at positions 568 to 774 of the family's 1533-position model. The record is from RNAcentral. Lineage: Bacteria; Deltaproteobacteria.